Molecule: long non-coding RNA, 860 nt
Organism: Talpa occidentalis (Iberian mole)
Lineage: Eukaryota; Metazoa; Chordata; Mammalia; Eulipotyphla; Talpidae
Exons: 5
Source: RefSeq, a predicted model, not a curated record
UUUACCGCGACACCUGUGAAAGGGGGCGGGGCAGGCUUGUGGUCUCCUUUGCUGAGCGACGUCUGUGGGGAAAGUGUUGGCUGCAGGUUUCUGAUUUUGUGCAAUAUCAACCCUAGGACAAUUAUGCUUCCUAAGAGAGAAAUAAUUAAAUACCAAGGCCUACAUUCUGCAUGACUAUGAGAACUAAGUUUCAGAGCCCAUAGACCCUUGUUGCUGCAUCACAAAUGUAAGAAAACUGAGGUCAGAAAACUGAGUGAUUGGCUUAACAUCACACCAGCUAGUAAGCUGUAUCUCUAUCCUCUUUUGCUGCUGUGGAAUGAAGAAUUGGUGUCUUAGACUUGCAACAUUUUUCAAGAGAUCACCUGAUCUAGUUCUUGGAGUCCAGAGAAAUGAACUUCUUGGUCAACCAAUCAGAAAAUGAUCGAGCUUAUUCUUUACCAACUCAAUAGAUGCAGAGGAGACCAGAAUUUUAUAUCCUUCUCUGAUACAGAAAUUUUAGUUUAUAAACCUAUUUUAGAUAUUACUCUUUGCAUUGCAUUGCAAUAAUUUGUUUACCAGUAUAUCUUCCCUUGAGGACAGAAAUGUAUAUUUAUUAUCUCUCAAUACACAGGCAGUUGAUAAAUGCCCAUUGUUAAGUGCAUGAUACGAGUAUUCAAUUGAAUUCUAGUUCCUUAUAAAGCAUAGUAGAAGCCCUGUUUCCUUUCGUUUUGGCCCCUUCAGACGGGGAAGUGUCCCAGCACGGGGAUUAAUACAAAGGAACCAAAUGGGAAAUGCUUGUUGAACAAAUGGAUGAACAAAAGAUGACUUCACAAGUCUUGAAAGUCUGCUCACACAUGUAUUUUUGGGUCACGCCUUAUUUU